RNAcentral lists this long non-coding RNA (8495 nucleotides) under Homo sapiens (human). RNAcentral's name for it is "HSALNT0293225". Lineage: Eukaryota; Metazoa; Chordata; Mammalia; Primates; Hominidae. The record is from RNAcentral.
AGAUGGAGCCUUGCUCUGUCGCUCAGCUCAGGCUGGAGCGCGGUGGUGCAAUCUAAGCUCACUGCAACCUCCGCCUCCCGGGUUUAAGCAAUUCCCCUGCCUCAGCCUCCCUAGUAGUUGGAACUACAGGUGCAUGCCACUAUGCCCAGCUAAUUUUUGUAUUAUUAGUAGAGACGGGGUUUUGCCAAGUUAGCCAGGCUGGUCUCAAACUCCUGAUCUCAGGCGAUCUGCCUGCCUUAGCCUCCCAAAGUGCUGGUAUUACAUGGGUGAGCCACUGCGCCUGGCCAUAUUUUCUUCUUGAUAUGCUUAAGCCUGAAUUUAUUUAUAUUACUCUUUACUUCCCCAUUCCUCUUUUUCCACAUAUGAUCAUAUCAAUAGUCUGUUUUCCUACAGAUUAACUUUGGUACUUCAAAAAUAUAAUCAAAUCUGUAUUUCUUAUUUCAUUGACAAUGGACAGUACCUCUGAACUCUCCACUUUGUAAGACAAACACAUUAUAACUCCCAGUCUUUCUUCCACUUCUUUUUACCUUGGUACUUCUCAGUGUUCUAAGCCAAUAAACAAUAUUCCCUCUAAAAUGACAAGAUAAAUAUAAUAUGUCUGCAGAGCUAGGCACAGUGCGUUAGUAAUAUAUUUCCUUCUCUAUUGGUCUAUGGAAGUUAUACUUCUUUCUCAAUAGGUUUUAUAUAGGACUUCUCUGCCACUCAGGGGAGAAUAUUCUAGCUUCAAAUCCCAAUGAAUUAUCUGCUUGAACACUUCACUAAUAGAGUUUAUCAUAUCCUUACCCUUUUCAUAGUUCUGAAUCCAUUCAGUUCCUUUUUUCCUCUGAAGACCUGCCUCCUGGAAUGCUAUAUCCACUGGGUCUAGUCUGCCCUGGUUACUCUCUAGGGUCAUUCCAAAGCUGUCAUUGUGAGACUUACUUUCACUGUUCCAUGGACAUCACCCUGUUACUUGGAUCUUAUGUUUUCUUUAUGGCUUACAUCCUUAAGUUAACUUCCUAAGGAAGGGUACACAGGAGAUAAAAUGAAUGAGAUCUUGCAAACCACAAAGAUCUUUAUUCUACUUUCACACUUAAUUGAUCAAGUCAUUUGGCUGGACAUAUAUUUCUUGGUUGAAGAUCAUUUUUUUCAGAACUUUGAAAGCAUAAAUUCACUGUCUUCUAGCACUUAGUUUUGCUGAUAAGAAAUCUGAUAUCAGACUAAUUCUAAUUCAUUUGUUGAUUACUUUGCUUUUUUUAAUCUCUGGAAGUUUUUAAGAUCUUUUCUUUAUCUUUGUUUUCAACUGAACAACUUUAUUUACUUAUUUACUAUUUUCUCUUAUACAGAUGCUCCUUAACUUAGUGGAGUUAUGUCCUAAUAAACCCACUUUAAGUUGAAAAUGUCGUAAGUCAAAAAGGCAUUUAAUACACCUAAGUCAAAAAGGCAUUUAAUACACCUAACCUACCAAACAUCAUAGUUUGGCUUAGCCUAUCUUAAAGGUGCUCAGAACACUUACAUUAGCCUACAGUUGGGCAACACCAUAUAAUACAAAGCUUAUUUUAUAAAAAAGUAUUGAAUAUCUCAUGUUUUUUUUUGAAUACUGUGCUAAAAGUGAAAACCAGAAUGGUUAUAUGGGUACUUGAGGGAUGAUUUCUACUGAAUGUAUAUCACUUUCACAGCAUGGCAAAGUAAAAAAAUUAAGUUGACCUAUUGAAAGUCAGGGGAUGUCUGUAUUUAUUUUUUGCUAAUCAUCUCCCCUCUAUGUACUUUCUCAAUAUUUAUUAGUCAAUAUUGAUCAUUCUGGAUAUAUCCUCUGUGUUUCUUUAGUCUAUAUUUUCUGUUUCUUUGUCCUUACUGUUCUAUGUCUUGGGAGACUUCCCUGGUUUUGUCUUGUAAGACUUCUCUUAAAUUAUAUGUUUUAAUCUAAGAUCAUUUUCUUAUUCACCUAUGUUUUUUCAUAAUAUAUUUUUCCUGUUUGCAGAGUCAACAUUUUUGGGAAUGUCUCUGAGAAUAUUAUUUUGAGGGUUUCAAAAGCACUCUUAAAUCCUCUGGAUUAUUAGCGCUUGUGGUGGAGCCAUUUUUCUACUAGUUUAUAUCUUUCUCUUUCAUAUUGCUGGCUUUAGUCAAACAUUUAGUGAUUUGGGUGGGCUGUCCAUCUGGAAGAAUGAAACUGACUGGGGGCUCUGGGUACGGGAGAUGUUUCUUGACCGGCAUCCUCUGCCUUUUGCUUCAUGACUAGGGCACUGAUCAUUAAGCCUGAGAAUCCCUAAUUACUAGGAUGAGGAGGGCUUUAAUUAGCACAUUAACGUACUGUCUUAUUUUUUUCUAGUAUGAUCAGAGAAGAUAGCCCACAUUUUUUUCGUUCAGUGUUAAGUGCCUGGUUUUAGGCAGUCUUACUUCCAGGGGUGGGAAAGGGCUAGUAUGUGUGCUUUCUAUUCCAUAAACCAGGGGUCAGCAAAUUUUUUUCUGUGAAAGCCAGAUAGUAAAAAUUUAGGCAUUGCAAACUACAUAUAGUUUCUGGCACAAAUUCUCAUUUUAUAAACAAUGCUUUAAAACCACAAAAACUGCAAAAAUAGGUGUUGGGAUAUAGUAUACCAGUCUCUGCAAAACAGACUUGCAUCAGUCCCUCCCUCUUCAGCCUCAUGUUUCACUGUCAACUUCUGAGUCUCAAUCCUAUCUAGAUGGGGAUUCCAUAAAAUAGAUUGAACCCUCCUCUUUCACCUACCACCAUUCCUGAGGUUUAGCCUUUCUCUUUGUGUAUUUUGAUUUCUUCUGUGUAUUUCUGUGUUUCGUUCACUUCUCAGUCAUAAAUCUUCCAUCAGUAUUUUGUCUUUCAAAUUCACAUCCACUUGUGGGCCCCUUCCUUCUUUCUGUUAUUGUUUGUAGUAGAUUCUGUUAGUUACUUACAUCCUGUCAUUGCUCCCCGUUUUUCAGCACCCAUCCCAUUUUUCAAUGCCAGCACCUGUAGCUCUUAGCCUGAAGGUCCUGUCUGGAUGUAGAGCUUGCUCUACCUGUCCAUGAGCAGUCUGGUGGAGCCAGAGAAUGUCCCCUCCCAUCAGCCUUCAACAAAUGACUAGUAGGAAUUGGUGAACAAACACCUCAGCUUCUUUUUCCUUCUGUUGGGAUAACUUUGAGUUGCAUGUUCUACUCUGGCUUCCGAGUUGCUUAGCUGAAUUAAGCACCAGGUGCCAAAUGAUCUGUUGAUAGUGAGCCCUUUAUUGAAUCUCCUGCAUUUCAUAUCUCACUUUUCCUCUCCUGUAUUAGUGUUUCCUGGCAUUACCUCUCAUAUAAAUUGCUUGUGGUAUAGAAUCCUUAUCUCAAGGUCUGCUUCUGAGCAACUCAAAUGGAGAUACCAUGGGUUAAAUUUGUUCUUUAUUACAAUUUCAAUGAAAUAUUAGAUGGAAGAGCAGACAACUAAGUACUUCUUUCAUUAUAUUGAAUCUGAAUCCUAUUAACUGAUAUUAUUUUGAGCAUUUACCGUUAGCCAGGUAUUAUUCAUGGAGAGUAGAAUAAUGAGUUAUACGUGAAUUCUACCUGCAAGGAACUUGUGUUCUACUGAACAGAUAAUUCAUUCAAUAGAAUGUUUUAAGUGUUGUUAAGAAAAGUUGAGGGCAGCCUUCGUGGCUCACACCUAUAAUCCCAGCACUUUGUGAGGCCUAUGAGGGCAGAUAACUUGAGCCCAUGAGUUCGAGACCAGCCUGGGCAACGAGGUGAAAUCUUGUCUCUACAAAAAAUACAAAAAUUAGCUGGACAUGUUGGCAUGCACCUGUAGUCCCAAGCUACUUGGGAAGCUGAGGUGGGAGGAUCACCUGAGCCUGGGAGGUAGAAGCUGCAGUGAGCCAUGAUUAUGCUGCUGCACUCCAGCCUGGGCAACAAACAGAGACCCUGUCUCAAAAAAAAAAAAAAAAAAAAGGUAGAGAUGAAUGUGUCAUUGGGCUUAAAGUCAUGAAAGGUUAUUUGAAGAUGGGUGGUUAGGGAUGAAUUCAGGAGGAGGUGACAUUUGAGUUGGGUAAAAGGGAAGUCAAUUUGAAGAUAAAGUGAUGGGGCUGGACGUUCCUAGGGAAGAAACAGAAUAAGCACAGUCCCUUUUCAGGUGGCAUGUGAAGAGGAAUGGUUCACUCAGGAGAAGCCUUACCUGCCUAAGUGAGGGAAGGCAACAUUAUGUGAAGCAAGUGUAAGUACAUACAAAAACCCAGACAUGUACACAGGAUUAAUUAAAAUUGUAAGGAGAUGCUCAUAUAAAUAUUGAUGGAGAUUGGUGAUAAAUGAUUCAUAUAAUCAGGAAUUUGGAUUUGAUGUGGAAGCAAAUGGGAGCCAUUAGAUUCCUCUGUGAAGGGAAAUUGAAAGCAUCUUUAUGAGAAAACGUUGUGCUUUAGGAUGUUCUAUUCUUGUGAGGAAUAGAAUGAUGUAGGUAAGGAAGACGCUAUUGCAGGGAUGUGGUAAUUUUUCAGUCUGCAUCAUUGUGGUGGAUCGUAGGAUUAAGAAUCAGAGGGCCACUUUGAGAAAUAUGGAAGAAGAAUCUGAAUUGCCAAAGGCAGAAAAAACAGAUAGAGGUAUGGAAAAUAGAAAAGCAAGGAAAAAUUCAAAGGACAAGUUCAUUCUCUGAGAAAUCUCUCAAAGUGGGGAGGAUAAUAGAGGGAAUAAGAAAGAAAAAAAGGCCUGUUUCCUGUAUCUGGGCCAGUCAGAAUUGAGGUUAGCUAGGUAGCUUAUUGGCCGGAGCUCUGCUUCAUCUUCUAUUUAUCCUCUCACUAUUUCUAACCAUCUAUGUCCUUCCAAAGAGUUGGUGAAGAAUUGUAUAAAUCUGUUGGAGGUUAUGUGUUGGGUUUAUCCUGAUUUUUUUUUGGUACCAGUUUCCUAAUGGAUUUUUAAUGGGAAACAUUUAAAAAAUAGAAAGUAAUCAUUCUUUAUUGAUAAUAAAUCCUUGAGUGUAACUGAAAGACUUUUAGUGCCCACAAAUUAUACGUUACAGUUUCUAUUUAAACUAAUUUACUGCUAUAGUCACAACAGUUGUUUUGCUGAUUUCCAUGUGAAGACUUCUUGCAUGGAAAAAAAGUACAAAACAAAAUCUACUGCUUUCCUACAUUGCCAAUUUCUUAGGCACCAAUACAUAAGUUAGCAUUAUUAGUGGGGAAAGUCACUAAUAAUGUAUUUAACUAUAUGCCGAGAAGUCUGUGCUCAUUAUUGCAGCCAUGGGGUAGCAAUAGCUACACAUUAAGAAGUUACGAGCUACUAUUUCAGAGAAAUUGCUCUUCCAAUAAUAAGUAGUCUGUGUUCUAUUUUUCUCCUUCCUUGAAUAUCAGUGUGGAAAAAAGUUAAUUCAGAAAACAACAAUCUCAGGAAUUGAAAAGCUUAAAUAAUCUCGUAACUGGCCUUUGUUCCCCUUCCUAGCCUUAUUAAAUCGUAUUUAGAAUGAUUCUAGCAUAUUACUUGCUUUUUCAGACCCUAAAUCUUAAGCAUUUGCUUUAUUUCAUACAUCCGUGAAAGGCCAACUCUCACUGUCUCCUCUGUUAGUGACUGGUAGAAGUGGUAUCACACACUUCUAGUUAUCUACAUUUUUGCCUAUUAGUAAUUUACCCUGAGGUCCAUUUCCUUUCUUUUGUUAUCCAACAAUAUUGAACCAGGCCAUCCUAUAUGAAUUUUGCUUUUUAUGGCUUUGGAAUUAGCAAUUACUCUGAAGCUUUCAUAUACUCUAAUCUCAUCUUUCUUCUUUCUCACUGUUCUUUUAACAAUGAUGUCAUUGCUCAUAAUCUAUAGUAAUAUAAUUUGCAUAUUACUGUUUGGCUACUGUCAGACAGUUCUGCUUAGCAAAUUAUGCAAAAGGUUCUAAUGCCAGGACAGGACGUCUAUCUUCUGGGUGAAUUCUGAGGUUGUCAUCUAUGUGGGGGAGCUGUACAUAGGAAAGUAGCUCUCUUUUCUGUUUCAGAUUUAGUUUUGGAAAAAGUGCAAAAAGUUAUCCCUGAGGAAACCAGGGAUACCCAAACACCUGCAGAAGCAGUAUGGCUCUGUCUGAAAUAAUCCACUUCUAAGAUCACAUGAUCAUUAGGCUAUGGAGGCUGAAAGAGAUCAUAUAGGUUGAGCACCCACCCUUGCCUCUAGUCAACGUUGCUAUCCACUACUGGAUUAGGAAAAUACGAAGCAGAGAUGGAGUAACAUAAUGUAACAGAUAAAAGUGGGGGAUCCAUAGUCAGACAAUGAAAUCCAGAUUUUCCACUUACAGUUCUGAUCUUGGACAGGUUGAUUAACCUCUUUUUGCCUUAGUUGUCUUAACAGUAAAACAGAUACUGAUAAUACGUAUGCUACAGAAUUGUUAAGAUUAAGUGAGGGGCUUCAAAUGUUUUCAAUAUUAAAUAAACAUAAGGUGUUAUUUUUAUUACUUUUAGAGCAUGUAAAGACCAUUUAUUUACGUUUGUGCUGAAAUCUUUCAUUGGCUGUAGCCAGAUAAAUGCAUUGUCAGUUCAACUUUUUGAGUGAAAUCUUUUUCUUUUCUGCUGUGCUCUGCAUUGUAUAAAACCAACUUAGUAACAUAAUUUACACAUCAUUCAAAUGCAUAUACAUGUUUGAGAGUGAUUUUUAAAGAAUCUAGCUGCAUUUUCACAAUGGUUUUAACACAAAGUUGUUAGAGAUAAUAAAAAUAUUUACCUUUUAGCAGCAUGAUUUAUUUCAUACUGGUACUGAAGCUUUGGGCCUGUGUGGUAUUUUUGAAGGAAUGCUUAAAAUUGCUGUAACAAAAAUAACACAUAUUCUGCUUUAACUGCAGCUGGAACUGGCCUUUUAUUUCACAGACUCAUUCUUAUUCUUUUGAAAGAUAGAUAUUUUUAUUAGUAUUGAUAAUUUCAUUCUAUCAAAAUGAUUUCUAAAUCUCAUAGAAUUUUAGUUGUUAUAAACUGGCUUGAGGUGGUGCCACACGUGUAUUUUUAUCAUAAAUAGCUAGUACUAGAAUAAUUUGUCUUCUUUUUAAUUUUAUAUGAGUUGUGCUUUAAUCAUUGGGCACUGAGUCUCAAUAACCUCUGGUGCUGUGGCAUUCCAUUUCCUCCUGGUUCUCACAGCCUCCAACAUUGAUUUCAGAACUGCCUUAUUACUGCAUAAUGUUCCUGGUUCAUUGUUAUAAACAGAUAGCCUGAAGUGAAAUGUAUGCUAUUUAAAGACAGCAGUGUUUUCCUUUUUCUUUUUUAACAUUUGAAUAAUACAUCAGUGUGAAAAAUAACACCUUCAAUAUUAAUAAGUUUUGGAUGCCAACUAGGAUUUUAAAAAUUUGUAUUUCAGAUGCUACUUCAUUACCUAUAAAGGUCUAUCCAUACCAGGUAAAAAAGCAUUUUGUAUUUAUUUGGUAGCUUUUCAGUGUCAGACACUUUGCAUAAAUUGUACUAUUUAAUUCUCAUAAUGGCUCCUGGAGGCAGGAAUUAUUACCCUCAUUUUAGAGAGAAGGGAAUUGAGGAUCAGAGGUAAAAUGAUUUGCAAAAUGAGUAAGUGAAAAACUAGGACUUGAACCUGGCUCUGAUACCAAAGACUGCUCACCUGUUCUACAUUACUGCCUGGAGUGAAGGAGAAAGAAAUAUGUGUGGCAAAAAUGGAAAUGGCUAUGGCCAUUUAGAAGAAUAGUUCUGCCAAGGACCCCUUUACAGAAUUAUCCCACUUCUACAAAAGACUCUGAUAUAGAUACAUUUUAGUUAUAAAUUUUGUUACCAUACGUGAGGAUACAGCAUUGGCCAUAAUUAACUGCUGCUGUUAUAACUUUGUGCAUUAGUGGCAGUUUUGUGAGGCUAGCUGAAUUUUUCGUUUUACCAAGAGCUUGAUUGUUCUCUCUAGACUUCUCUUUGUCUCCUGCUGAGAUCUUGUUAAACAUUUUGAGGAUGAACUAAUCAGUGUUUUGCAUCCUUCCAAUAAGGCGAAUGCUUUUGUUUUCAGCAUAAUUUAAUGUGAGAAUAUUCCGAUGAAAAUAGAUUGAAGACUCCUUCACCAGUUAUGGUCGGGAAAAGUAGGCUGGCAUAGUGAUGGUUUUGGGGCAGGCAACCUCAUUAAUGUUUAACCUGGGGAAGAGACUUCAGAUAAAUGUUUGUAAUGGUCAACAACUUAUAGAUUAUUUCUAAUCAUUUAUUUUCUGAUUCUCAACAUUAAUGGUUCUAGGUCAUUUGCAGAUAUUAAAAUUCUACCAUGGCACAUGUUUAUCUGUGUAACAAACCUGCACAUCCUGCACAUGUACCCCAGGACUUAAAAAUAAAAAUAAAAAUAGGCCGGGCGCAGUGGCUCACGCCUGUAAUCCCAGCAUUUUGGGAGGCCGAGGUGGGUGGAUCAUGAGGUCAGGAGAUCGAGACCAUCCUGGCUAACACGGGGAAACCCCAUCUCUGCUAAAAAUACAAAAAAUUAGCUGGGCCUGGUGGUGGCGGUCACCUGUAGUCCCAGCUACUUGGGAGGCUUAGACAGGAGAAUGGCGUGAGCCCAGGAGGCUGAGCUUGCAGUGAGCCGAUAUGGUGCCACUGCACUCCAGCCUGGGCGACAGAGUGAGACUCCAUCUCGAAAAA